UACGGAGGGGGCUAGCGUUGUUCGGAAUUACUGGGCGUAAAGCGCGCGUAGGCGGACCUGCAAGUCGGGGGUGAAAGCCCGAGGCUCAACCUCGGAACUGCCUUCGAUACUGCGGGUCUCGAGUCCGGGAGAGGUGAGUGGAAUUCCUAGUGUAGAGGUGAAAUUCGUAGAUAUUAGGAAGAACACCAGUGGCGAAGGCGGCUCACUGGCCUGUUCUUGACGCUGAGGCGCGAAAGCUAGGGGAGCAAACGGG
Molecule: ribosomal RNA, 253 nt
Filed under: uncultured bacterium
Lineage: Bacteria
Description: partial 16S ribosomal RNA
Rfam family: Bacterial small subunit ribosomal RNA
Source: RNAcentral